This 251-nucleotide ribosomal RNA is filed under the name uncultured Candidatus Pelagibacter sp. RNAcentral describes it as "partial 16S ribosomal RNA". It matches the Rfam family "Bacterial small subunit ribosomal RNA", at positions 60 to 339 of the family's 1533-position model. The record is from RNAcentral. Lineage: Bacteria; Pseudomonadati; Pseudomonadota; Alphaproteobacteria; Candidatus Pelagibacterales; Candidatus Pelagibacteraceae.
AGUCGAGCGAGGUAGCAAUACCUAGCGGCAGACGGGUGAGUAACAUGUGGGAAUCUGCCUUUUGGUUCGGAACAACACGGGGAAACCUGUGCUAAUACCGGAUAAGUCCUAACGGAGAAAGUUUUAAUGCCAAAAGAUGAGCCCGCAUUUGAUUAGCUAGUUGGUAAGGUAAAAGCUUACCAAGGCGACAAUCAAUAGCUGAUUUGAGAGGAUGAUCAGCCACACUGGGACUGAGAUACGGCCCAGACUCC